ACUGCUCUUUCUGCCCAGCUCAUCCAUCCAGCCCACUCAGUUCAAAUCCACCUUCUUUCAGAACCUACAAAGGGUGAAAAGAGUGGAGAAGAAAUCUCCCCAGCGGUUGAGGAAAUUGUCAGAAGUGAUAACAUCACAGGAAAACCCACCAACCAGAACCAAGGGGACCAGAGCCCAGCCCCUCACCCAGAGCAUCCCAGGUACAUGAUACCCAUCUGUGCCUGACUGUGCCAUGGGCUGCGGGCUGCUCUGCUGUGUGGUCCUGUGUGUCCUGGGAGCAGUCCCCAUGGACACCAGAGUUACCCAGACACCAAGACACCUGGUCAUGGGAAUGACAGAUAAGAAGUCUCUGAAAUGUGAACAAAAUCUGGGACAUAAUGCUAUGUACUGGUACAAACAGGGUGACAAGAAGCCACCGGAGCUCAUGUUUGCCUACUACCUAAAGGAACUCAGAGAAAACGUGACUGUGCCAAGUCGCUUCUUACCAGAGUGCCGUGACAGCUCUCACUUGCACCUUUAUCUAGACACCCUGCAGCCAGAAGACUCAGCCAUGUAUCUCUGUGCCAGCAGCCAAGACACAGCCCUGCAGAGUCGGCUCCUCCCUGUACACAAACUUUCGGACCCAGCCAGGAAGCGGUGGGGCAACUGA
Molecule: RNA transcript, 649 nt
Organism: Nycticebus coucang (slow loris)
Lineage: Eukaryota; Metazoa; Chordata; Mammalia; Primates; Lorisidae
Gene name: T cell receptor beta variable 4-3-like
Exons: 2
Source: RefSeq, a predicted model, not a curated record